AGCUCUGUGGCACAGUGGGUUAAUGCCCUGGCCUGAAGCGCCAGUAUCCCAUAUGGGUGCAGGUUUGAAUCCUGGCUGCUCUA
This 83-nucleotide transfer RNA is filed under the name Oryctolagus cuniculus (rabbit). It matches the Rfam family "tRNA". From Rfam's summary of the family: Transfer RNA (tRNA) molecules are approximately 80 nucleotides in length. Lineage: Eukaryota; Metazoa; Chordata; Mammalia; Lagomorpha; Leporidae. The record is from Rfam by way of RNAcentral.